This 301-nucleotide ribosomal RNA is filed under the name uncultured bacterium. RNAcentral describes it as "partial 16S ribosomal RNA". It matches the Rfam family "Bacterial small subunit ribosomal RNA", at positions 509 to 807 of the family's 1533-position model. The record is from RNAcentral.
CAGUCGCCACGGUAAUACGUAGGGUGCGAGCGUUAAUCGGAAUUACAGGGCGUAAAGCGUGCGCAGGCGGUUGUGUAAGACAGGUGUGAAAUCCCCGGGCUUAACCUGGGAACUGCGCUUGUGACUGCACAGCUAGAGUAUGGCAGAGGGGGGUGGAAUUCCACGUGUAGCAGUGAAAUGCGUAGAGAUGUGGAGGAAUACCGAUGGCGAAGGCAGCCCCCUGGGCCAAUACUGACGCUCAUGCACGAAAGCGUGAGGAGCAAACAGGAUUAGAUACCCGAGUAGUCCCUGUCUCUUAUAC